AUCCUUUCAUAGUUCCCAUGCAUGAUGAUUGGGUGUUCAUGCUCAUGUGUGAGAUAUGCUUCCUUCAAGCCUCAUUAAGCUGUGAGCACAUUACCAUCUGAUG
This is a small nucleolar RNA of Callithrix jacchus (white-tufted-ear marmoset), 103 nucleotides long. The record is from Ensembl. NCBI's taxonomy places the organism in Eukaryota, Metazoa, Chordata, Mammalia, Primates, Cebidae.